GUGCUCCCUUCAGCAGCACAUAUACUAAAAUUGGAAUGAUACAGAGAAGACUAACAUGGCCACUAUGCAAGAAAGACAUAAAAAUUCGUGAAGUGCUCCAUAUUUUU
Molecule: small nuclear RNA, 107 nt
Organism: Rhinolophus ferrumequinum (greater horseshoe bat)
Lineage: Eukaryota; Metazoa; Chordata; Mammalia; Chiroptera; Rhinolophidae
Source: Ensembl